UAGCUCAGUAACACGUGGAGAACGUGCCCUUUAGUGGGGGAUAAUCUCGGGAAAUUGAGGAUAAUACCCCAUAGGUCAUGGGAUCUGGAAUGACCCAUGGCUGAAAGUUCCGGCGCUUAAGGAUCGCUCUGCGGCCUAUCAGGUAGUAGUGGGUGUAACGUACCCCCUAGCCUACGACGGGUAUGGGCCUUGAGAGAGGGAGCCCAGAGUUGGAUUCUGAGACACGAACCCAGGCCCUACGGGGCGCAGCAGUCGCGAAUACUUCACACUGGGGGGAACCCCGAUGAGGGAAUUCCUAGUGCUUGGGCAUUUGUCCAAGCUUUUCCCGAGCGUAGAUAACUCGGGGAAUAAGGGCUGGGUAAGACGGGUGCCAGCCGCCGCGGUAAUACCUGCAGCCCGAGUGGUGGUCGAUUUUAUUGAGUCUAAAGCGUUCGUAGCCGGUCCGUUAAAUCCUUGGGUAAAUCGGGAAGCUCAACUUUCCGACUUCCGAGGAGACUGGCGGACUUGGGACCGGGAGAGGCCAGAGGUACUUCUGGGGUAGGGGUUAAAUCCUGGUAAUCCUUAAAAGAAACACCGGUUGGGCGAAGCGUUCUGGCCAGAACGGAUCCGAACGGGGGAGGGACAGAGCCUUGGGUUCCCAAACGGGAUAUGAUUACCCCGGUUAUUCC
RNAcentral lists this ribosomal RNA (668 nucleotides) under uncultured methanogenic archaeon. RNAcentral describes it as "bacterial SSU rRNA". It matches the Rfam family "Archaeal small subunit ribosomal RNA", at positions 86 to 747 of the family's 1478-position model. The record is from RNAcentral. Lineage: Archaea; Methanobacteriati; Methanobacteriota.